ACUCCUACGGGAGGCAGCAGUAGGGAAUCUUCCACAAUGGGCGCAAGCCUGAUGGAGCAACACCGCGUGAGUGAAGAAGGGUUUCGGCUCGUAAAGCUCUGUUGUUAAAGAAGAACAGUAUGAGAGUAACUGUUCAUACGUUGACGGUAUUAACCAGAAGUCACGGCUAACUACGUGCCAGCAGCCGCGGUAAUACGUAGGUGGCAAGCGUUAUCCGGUAUUUAUUGGGCGUAAAGAGAGUGCAGGCGGUUUUCUAAGUCUGAUGUGAAAGCCUUCGGCUUAACCGGAGAAGUGCAUCGGAAACUGGAUAACUUGAGUGCAGAAGAGGGUAGUGG
This 335-nucleotide ribosomal RNA is filed under the name uncultured bacterium. RNAcentral's name for it is "bacterial SSU rRNA". It matches the Rfam family "Bacterial small subunit ribosomal RNA", at positions 335 to 664 of the family's 1533-position model. The record is from RNAcentral.